RNAcentral lists this ribosomal RNA (445 nucleotides) under uncultured microorganism. Its description in RNAcentral is "bacterial SSU rRNA". It matches the Rfam family "Bacterial small subunit ribosomal RNA", at positions 9 to 441 of the family's 1533-position model. The record is from RNAcentral.
GAGUUUGAUCGUGGCUCAGGAUGAACGCUGGCGGCGUGCCUAAUACAUGCAAGUCGAGCGAACAGACGGGGAGCUUGCUCCCCUGACGUUAGCGGCGGACGGGUGAGUAACACGUGGGUAACCUACCUAUAAGACUGGAAUAACUCCGGGAAACCGGGGCGUAAUGCCGGAUAACAUGUUGGACCGCAUGGUCCUACAGUGAAAGACGGUCUUGCUGUCACUUAUAGGUGGACCCGCGCCGUAUUAGCUAGUUGGUAAGGUAACGGCUUACCAAGGCAACGAUACGUAGCCGACCUGAGAGGGUGGAUCGGCCACACUGGAACUGAGACACGGUCCAGACUCCUACGGGAGGCAGCAGUAGGGAAUCUUCCGCAAUGGGCGAAAGCCUGACGGAGCAACGCCGCGUGAGUGAUGAAGGCCUUCGGUCGGUAAACUACUGUUAUUA